This 494-nucleotide ribosomal RNA is filed under the name uncultured bacterium. RNAcentral's name for it is "partial 16S ribosomal RNA". It matches the Rfam family "Bacterial small subunit ribosomal RNA", at positions 28 to 507 of the family's 1533-position model. The record is from RNAcentral.
GACGAACGCUGGCGGCGUGCUUAACACAUGCAAGUCGAACGGAAAGGCCUGUCCUUCCUUGUGUUGGACGGGUACUCGAGUGGCGAACGGGUGAGUAACACGUGAGUGAUCUGCCCCCAACUUGGGUAUAAGCCUGGGAAACUGGGUCUAAUUCCCGAUAGGACUGCAGGGUGGUGCCUGUGGUGGAAAACGAUUUUCUAGUGGUUGGGGAUGAGCUCGCGGCCUAUCAGCUUGUUGGUGGGGUAAUGGCCUACCAAGGCGGCGACGGGUAGCCGGCCUGAGAGGGUGGACGGCCACAUUGGGACUGAGAUACGGCCCAGACUCCUACGGGAGGCAGCAGUGGGGAAUAUUGCACAAUGGGCGGAAGCCUGAUGCAGCGACGCCGCGUGGGGGAUGACGGCCUUCGGGUUGUAAACUCCUUUCGACCGCGAGGAAGCCGCCUGGUCGGAAGGGUGGUGACGGUAGUGGUAGAAGAAGCACCGGCUAACUACGUG